Gadus macrocephalus (Pacific cod) is the source of this 917-nucleotide long non-coding RNA. RefSeq lists it as uncharacterized. The transcript is spliced from 5 exons. Lineage: Eukaryota; Metazoa; Chordata; Actinopteri; Gadiformes; Gadidae. The record is from RefSeq and is a predicted model, not a curated record.
GUUGUGGUUGCAAAGCAAGCCAGACUAUUGUUAUAUUGUUAUGUCAUUAUAAUUCCUCCCCCUAAUAAUAGGGAGCUCUCUUCUUCAGUUCUUGAGCUAUCAACGUCAAGCAAAUGUCAGAAAUGACUUCCUAAAAUAUUAUAAACUAGUUUUUGAAUAUUUUUUUAUAUGUAUUGUUUUUAAUAUGGAAAGUGAAUGGGGUUAAAAUGCUGAAAUCAACAACCCCAAACGUCAACAGAUGAGAAAUGUCAAAUUGGGCACACACGUAAACCGGAAGUAGGCAGGUAAACAGGUUUUCAACUGUUACGGCAGAGGGCACCAAAUUUGAACGGCCACACCCCCUCCCUCGCAAAAAAGUUGCACAACUUUUUAUCUGGGGCUCACAUGCUCAAACUUUUUGCCUAGGGUCCAUCCGGAUAUAUUUUCUGAUCUUGUUACAGCAUAGCUAACCCUAUGCUUUCGGAAACGUAAAAAAAAAAGAAUCCAAUUGUAGAAACAUUUCCCAUUAUCGCGUGGGAAACAAUAGCUGACGAGUCAAUGCGUGCAACCCAACUGGCCCCAAACGGACUUUGCAGCAACUAAAAAUGAAAUAUAAAAAUGUAGUUCAAACAGUUACUGAUGAUGGUGUAAUCUGUCUCGUGGAGCCUUCUGCCAUAACACACCUCCAUGCUGUUGAUGAUGAUGAAGACACCUUAUCAGCUGCCACAGAGAGGGAAGAUGCAGAGAGGCCUGUUGAGAGCAAUGCCGGAAGUUACAAUGAGGAAGAAGGUCCAUCAACCUCCACAGCACAGCUUAGAUGUGCACAGCUUAGAUGUUGUUCAGCAUUGACCCACAACUUACAAUGACACUAAGUAGACAUGGCACUGUGAAAUUCAAAGUCAUUUAUGUUCCUAUAGCUCCCUGUGAAACAACUUUAC